This 70-nucleotide transfer RNA is filed under the name Loxodonta africana (African savanna elephant). It matches the Rfam family "tRNA". From Rfam's summary of the family: Transfer RNA (tRNA) molecules are approximately 80 nucleotides in length. Their secondary structure includes four short double-helical elements and three loops (D, anti-codon, and T loops). Further hydrogen bonds mediate the characteristic L-shaped molecular structure. tRNAs have two regions of fundamental functional importance: the anti-codon, which is responsible for specific mRNA codon recognition, and the 3' end, to which the tRNAs corresponding amino acid is attached (by aminoacyl-tRNA synthetases). tRNAs cope with the degeneracy of the genetic code in two manners: having more than one tRNA (with a specific anti-codon) for a particular amino acid; and 'wobble' base-pairing, i.e. permitting non-standard base-pairing at the 3rd anti-codon position. The record is from Rfam by way of RNAcentral. Lineage: Eukaryota; Metazoa; Chordata; Mammalia; Proboscidea; Elephantidae.
GCAUUAGUGGUUCAGUAGUAGAAUUCUCACCUUCAUGUAGGAGACCCAGGUUCGAUUCCUAGCCAAUGCA